CCUAAUUGAUACAAUAUGAAACGAAGGGUUUAGCCUCAAUAGAUCAAAUGCAAUUAAAAUUUUAUAUCAGACUUGUCAUUGAUAUUUUUUGUCCGAUUGUCAGCCCAAAUAUUUUCGUUUUAACGAACAUCUUGAACAACAGAGACUAGUAGUAAUUAGACAUCCAACCCGAGCUUUCAGAUUUUUUUUCAACUUCCUACACGCCAACCAAACCGAACAGACGUGGGAUUGUGGGGCUCAAAUUAUCCACUUACAUUUCGACAGUAGGAUUUAUACGACCUCCGGCAUUAGAAAACUAUACUUGAAUUCAAGAAAAAUUGGACGAUGGGGUCCAGAUUUUUUCAUGCCUCUCCCCUUUCCAUAUGAAAUAAAUGUAACAUUCAGAGUUCAAAUCACGCUUCGCCAAAACCAAUUUCAGUUCCUCUUCAAUGACAAGGAUUCUUACAAUUAUGACUACUCAACUGAUGGAAUAAAAAUCAUAUGCUAUCAUGACAGCGUGGUAGUCCAUACCAUCUAUACAACAUAGAAAUCAAAUUUUAAAAUGUAUGAACUUUGUAUGAUUAAAGUUCC
Long non-coding RNA from Physella acuta, 570 nucleotides. RefSeq lists it as uncharacterized. NCBI's taxonomy places the organism in Eukaryota, Metazoa, Mollusca, Gastropoda, Physidae. The record is from RefSeq and is a predicted model, not a curated record.